CAAUGAAAAAAAAUAACCGUCUCGCCUGCCCAGUGACAUAGUUCAACGGCCGCGGUAUCCUAACCGUGCGAAGGUAGCAUAAUCACUUGUUCUCUAAAUAGGGACUAGUAUGAAAGGCAUCACGAGGGUUUUACUGUCUCCUUUCUCCAAUCAGUGAAACUGAUCUCCCUGUGAAAAAGCAGGAAUAAAUAUAUAAGACGAGAAGACCCCAUGGAGCUUUAAACCCAACAACAACCCAAACCCUCCAGUCCCUAAUAGUUUUAUAAAGUAUUGCUUGUUGGUUUUAGGUUGGGGUGACCGCGGAGAAUAAAUCAACCUCCAUGACGAAUGGGACUAACCCCUUACCCAAGAGCAACUCCUCUAAGGAUUAACAAAUUAACGUUAAGUGAUCCAACUUAUUGAUCAACGAACCAAGUUACCCUGGGGAUAACAGCGCAAUCCAUUUUUAGAGCCCCUAUCAAAAGAUGGGUUUACGACCUCGAUGUUGGAUCAGGGUACCCCGGUGGUGCAGCCGCUACCAAUGGUUUGUUUGUUCAACAAUUAAAACCCUACGUGAUCUGAGUUCAGAACCGGAGGAUCGCCUGGUUAUCAAAAACAUAUACGUGAUCUGAUUUCAAAAACGGAGCG
Molecule: ribosomal RNA, 627 nt
Filed under: Phrynoderma hexadactylum (Indian five-fingered frog)
Lineage: Eukaryota; Metazoa; Chordata; Amphibia; Anura; Dicroglossidae
Description: partial large subunit ribosomal RNA
Rfam family: Bacterial large subunit ribosomal RNA
Source: RNAcentral